RNAcentral lists this ribosomal RNA (252 nucleotides) under uncultured bacterium. RNAcentral describes it as "partial 16S ribosomal RNA". It matches the Rfam family "Bacterial small subunit ribosomal RNA", at positions 524 to 776 of the family's 1533-position model. The record is from RNAcentral.
UACGAAGGGGGCGAGCGUUGUUCGGAUUUACUGGGCGUAAAGGGCGCGUAGGCGGCCUUGUCAGUCAGGCGUGAAAGCCCCGGGCUCAACCUGGGAACGGCGCUUGGGACGGCGAGGCUGGAGUUCGGGAGAGGAGAGUGGAAUUCCCAGUGUAGAGGUGAAAUUCGUAGAUAUUGGGAAGAACACCGGUGGCGAAGGCGGCUCUCUGGACCGACACUGACGCUGAGGCGCGAAAGCGUGGGAGCAAACAGG